Molecule: ribosomal RNA, 517 nt
Filed under: Symbiodinium sp. clade B
Lineage: Eukaryota; Dinophyceae; Suessiales; Symbiodiniaceae
Description: partial truncated 23S ribosomal RNA
Rfam family: Bacterial large subunit ribosomal RNA
Source: RNAcentral
GGCUGUAACUAUAACGGUCCUAAGGUAGCAAAUUUCCUUGUCGUCUUAAUAACGACCUGCAUGAAACAUAGAACGAUUUGAUAGCUGUCUUGCACACACAUCAUGGUAAAAUAUUCAUCAGUACAAAUAAUAUGCUGCUGACACUAAAGGACAAAAAGACCCUUUGAAGCUUUAUAGGGAUAAAACUCAGCUUUAAAUCAACAAACAAUGAAAUCCAUCUUGUUGCUUCUCCGCUUUUUAAAUUGCUAAAGCCUUACAAGAUUUACAAGACCACUGUUUAAUUGGGGCGAUAACCUUAUCCACAGCCACCUAAGGUGAACAAAGCGAUACAAGGAUCCUAAAUACUAAUGUGAAGCUACUCUACGGAUAACAGGCUUAAUUUCCGCAAUAUCCAAGGUCACAUUAUCAAGAAUAAAGCACCUCGAUGUCGGCUUAUCUCAACCAAGGUAAGUAGCCCAAAUAUUGGUGGGAGUGCUCAUCCCGUAAAAAGGUACGUGAGCUGGGUUCAAUACGAUGG